GUGAUGGUGCAAAGUAGCACUUGGAUAAAGUGUUCAGAUGCGAAUCCAGCCCUGUCUGCCUUGGGUCAGUCCAGUGUUUGGUCUGAGUCUCCGUGGCUGUGGUUGACAGUGACUGGGUUUGCACAGGAGGUCCCCGGAGCUCACUGACAGCACCCACAUCUGCAGGCCUCUCUCGCUGUCUUGCCCCUGCUGUCCUUGUAUCUGAGUGGCUAAGGACCGACCUGGACCCCCAUGGUGAGGAUGGUUGUCUCCAAACUGGCAAAAGAGAGGUGAAAAAUUCAGUUCCCACACAUGAGCUCCUGGCUCUGGUGUCCGGGAGUCCUGAGGAGCUGGUUGGAUUUUGUCUUGCCCGGAGAACUGUGGUAGCUUUGGCUCCUGUGUAACUCCUGCAAGAGCAAUUCCAUUCCCCAGGUACUGCUGGCUGGCACCCGAGAGGAUGUGAGGCUGGAGUCUGACGGGUGUUUGUUGGGUGGGUAAAUGCCAUGGGCUGGUAGCACAGCCUCAGGCUCAGACAGACCUGCAUUCUGUCCCAGCAGCAGGAUCCAUGAGCUCUGCACACCUCAAGCUGAUCUGACUGAAGAUCACGCCUUUUACGCAUGAGUCCAUCCCGAAAACUGACGAUAGAAAGUAUCUGGAAGCACAGUACAGUUUCCGGACUCCAGGGCACAGGUCCAGCCAGUCAGUGCUCGACGUCCCCCUCCUGGGUCCCCCCUGUGGCCCCAGUGAAAACAACCUGGCUUUGUGUCCCACCAGUGGCUGCCACUGGGGCAAGGAAACUCCUGCCUGGCGUUGGGCCGGGAGGCCUGGGCACCGGAGGAAGCUGGCUGCGGGGCACGGCAGGAGGGAGCAGUGAGGUGUCCUCACCAAGCAGCCUGCGCCCAGAGCACGGCCGGUGGUGCAGAGGACGUCUGUCUUCCUGCAUGCAGCCGGAGCUCCACGCAGCCCCUGAGUCAGGGCUGCACCCGGAGAACCAGAGCCGCAAGCUGCCCGGCCCCAGGAGCCUCUGA
This 1007-nucleotide long non-coding RNA is filed under the name Chinchilla lanigera (long-tailed chinchilla). Its description in RNAcentral is "lncRNA (ENSCLAG00000028992.1)". Lineage: Eukaryota; Metazoa; Chordata; Mammalia; Rodentia; Chinchillidae. The record is from RNAcentral.